GCGGUCUUUGGCUUGGAGAAAGAUGAGGUGUCAGCCUCGGAUGCUGCCCGGAUUCUUCCAGAUGCUCGACGAAAUGCCUGACCCAUCGUUGUGUUUUGACGCCGAACGCGGCCUUGUGAUGUCUCUUGUAGUGUAAGCCUAAUAUUGAAGAUGUUUUCGUGGCUUGUUUUGGUGCAUAUGUUUUAGAGAAACUCAACUAACACUCUUUAUAACUUUUUUAUAUCAUUAUGUAAAGUUUAUUACAAUGUAAAGUUUUUCAACUAUGAACCAUAACAUUUUGUCCAUAACUUAGUGUGAUUUAUAAAAUUGUACAUUUCCUUAAUAAGUUAAUUUCAAUAAUACUAUACAUUGAACUAUGGUGAAUCACCUUUUCCUUGAUGAACGUGAAGUGUUAAAAUUUAUCUUGUAAUAAUGUAAUUUGAAAACUAAAAGUUUUUUAUUAUUUGGUCUCCCAAAAUAUUACUAAAAAUAAAUGAUGAAUUUUGAAUUUGAUAUAUUUAGUGUUAUCGAUCUAGCUUUUUAAAGUAUGAUUAUUUAAUAUAUAUAUAUAUAUAUAUAUAUAUAUAUAUAUGGCUAAAGAUAGACAAACCCUAAAAUACAUCCCCUUUGAUGGUGAUUUGGGAUUAUGAAGAUUACAAAUCACAUCAAUCAAAACUCCAACACUGAAUGAAAUUUCCCUUCGAAUCACAGUUUUUCGGUAAUCCAUACACUCGGAUAUGUUUCAUUCCCAACGCUUCAAACUCUUUCUUCUCUAUCGGAAGUCAUUCUCAAUAACCCCUCUUCAAACCCGACAACCCAACAAUCCAUUAUCCUCGAUACUCUCUCUGAAACACUCUUCAAAUGCUUCACAGCAACAACACUCUUUCAUGGUUUCCUAUCUCGUAAACGACCGCGGGUUCUCCCCAGAAACCGCUCUGAAGGCUUCCAAAUUCAUUCAAUUCGAGACCUCGGAAAAGCCCGACUCAGUCAUCGCAUUCUUCAGAGAUAACGGAUUCAGCAAUACCCAGAUAAACAGCAUUGCCGAAAGAGCACCCAAGGUUCUCACUUGCGACCCCCACAAAAGGGUUUUUCCAAAGUUCGAGUUUUUACUCUCGAAAGGGGCCUCACGCUCUGACAUUGUGGAACUGGUGAGUAGGAGCCCCAGAAUCCUUUACUGCAGCCUCGAGAAUAACAUUGUCCCUUCGUAUGAACUGAUGAGGAAGUUUUUUCAAACCGAUAAGGAAACGAUGGAUUGCAUACGCUCUUGUGGUCAUUUCUUUGGUACUGAUCGUGUGGUGAAGAAUGUGGAACUUUUGGUUGAUGAUGGAGUCACUGAUCGUGUACUAGCCUUUGUGUUACGCAGGAGAAUUUCUAUAAUCUUGUGUUCUUCCUUGAAGAGGACUUUGGAUGAGGUUAAGGAAAUGGGGUUUGAUCCUUCCAAGUUGAGCUUUGCCAUCGCGCUGGUGGCGAAAACGACCAUUCCGAAAUCUCGAUGGGAGAGGAAAGUUGAUGCCUUUAAGAGAUGGGGUUGGUCUGAAGAAUUGGUUCUCAGAGUGUUUAGGAGGCAACCCCUCGUAAUGUUGGUGUCCCAAGAAAAAAUUGAUAGGAUUAUGAGAUUUUGGGUUAAGCAAUUAGGUUGGGACUAUUUGGCUCUUACCAAGAAACCAGAGAUUUUUGGAUUUAGUUUGGAGAGAAGGAUCAUUCCAAGGGCACUUGUUGUCCAGUAUUUACUCAAGAAAGGUUUGAGGAGUAAGAGUGCCAGCUUGAUUACGCCAUUUUCUGUUUCUGAUAAGGUAUUUAUUGAAAACUAUGUCAUGCGUUUUAAGGAGGAGACAAGUGAACUACUAAAGCUGUACCAAUUCAAAGACUAAAAGAGGAUGAUCAAAUGGUUAACUAACGAGAACUAAUUUCUCUGAUUCCAGAAGUUUGUAUUUCUUCAUCCCUUAUAACUUGGAGUUAGUCAUGUUUAAAUUCAACUGAUUUAAAUCAAUUGUGUCAUUCUGAUGGGUUGGAAUGCUUUCUGCAAUUGCCACCAUCUUUGUGAUUUAUAUCAGUUGCUUGACGUUAUAUAAAUGUGACUGUAGCAUGAAAAGUUUAGCUCAAAUUCUUAUCCAAUGCUCAUCUGCAACAUAGCUUACACAAGCAUUUUUUUUUUUUUGUCGUUGCCUUUGGAAUAAAAGUCUAUAUGUCAUCCUUGCAUUAAUGUAUGCACUGGCAAGGAUCUUUUAGUUAUUAGUUUGUAUACAUGUCAAUUCUUUUUUCUGGUUUGGUUUCUGGAUUGAAAUAUUUCAACUAUUUUGGUAAUUGAUCUUAUAGGAUAGGCAAGAUAUCAUUACAAUUAUCACAUGAAAAAGUCUCUUUAACAAUAUUUUUUACUAACUCUUUGAUAAUACAUACGUGUUAUAGGAUAGGCAAGAUAUCAUUACAAUUAUCAUAUGAAAAAGUCUCUUUAACAAUAUUUUUUACAACUCUUUGAUGAUACAUACGUGCUAGUUUGUGAUUGGUCCGUUUCAAAUAUUUUUUAGAAUAAAUUCAAACAAAUCAAUAAAAUGAUGACAUGUGUUCAAUUAUCAAAAAGUUGUUAAAAUAUCAUUGUCCAUCAUCAUAACUCCUUUAACUUUUGUGUAACUUAAUGAUUUGUUCCUUGUUAGUGGAAAAAUAAUGUCAAAUUAUUGCACAGACGUUUAGCUGGGUAUACAUCAAAUGACAACGUCCGGAUACACCAUUGUAGUUUGUAUGGUCACUUGUGAUGGUUAAAGAAGAAAAAGAAAAAUAAAGACUAUCAUAUGCAAGUAUUAAAAAAUACUAUUGAUUUUUCUCUUCUGUCGUAUGAACUUUGUAAGAAUAAAGUUUUUAAUUUAUCUCAAUAAUUUAGUAAGAAGCAUCCAAUCAUUGUAUAUUUCAAAAAACACUACACACUCUUUGUUGAUGAAAUAAAUUAUAAUCUUUUAACUAUUUAGACAUUAUAUUUAUUUAGGAUUAGAAAUGAUUUAUCAAAAUAAUACUUAAUUAAGUAAAAGAUUGCCUAUGUAAAAAAAUUACAUAAUACUAAAAUUAGACUCGUCAAAAAGUGAUCGACAGUUUAAAAAUACUCUAAAUAAACUAAAAGUGAUUUGUUAAAAAAUAAUAAGUUAAAUUACGCAAAUUUAUUGAAACAGAUUAAACUAAUAAUGUAUUGUUUAGUAUUAAUCUUUUUAAUAAAACUUAAACAGUUUGUCAAAAAUUAAACAAAAUAUAUGAAAUCAAUCAAACUAUUAAAAAAAUAUUUUAUAUAUAUAUAUAUAUAUAUAUAUAAUACACCAUUUAUUAAUACAUAGACAAUAUAAUUAAAAAAAUUUAAAAACAAAAUUCAAGUCUGCCUUUUUUGUGUAUUAUUUCUUAUUUUUCACAUAUUAAAGAAGAUGUAAUCAACGCUUCUAAUCCGUGUAAAUUUAAUUAUAUUUAUUUUUAUUUAGAAUUGGGUUAAUUAAUUACUUGGAUUGGACCCUUAAGUUAUGUUAUAGGAUAAUGUUCUAAUUCAUUUGUGGGAUUAUUUUGUCUUUUUUAUUUAUUUCUUUUAGAAUUUAAUUCUACAGAGUUGAUAAUUUGUUUCUCUCUUUGAGAACAGAUAUCGAAUGGAACCCUAGCAGAAAAAUAGGAGUGAGAUUUGAAGGAGGAGCUUGUAUCUGUCUCAAAAUCUGAGUUACUCAGUACCACGCUCAGGUAACAUCAUUGUUCUUCAAUCCUUUGCCUUUUCAAUUUUCAGGAAUUUUCUUCAAUUUGAAAAGUUGUUUUUCACCUCAUCACCAUGUUCAAUAAACUUCUGUACUUGAAAUGUGUCACUUCCACAGCAACAUCACCUUACCCUUUUAUCCACCACUACCCAUUCCUCUUUUCUCUUUGUUUCUGCACAGCCACUUCAAAUUCACGCUCAUUUGCAAUAUCCUACCUCGUUGACAACUUUGGAUUCUCUCCUGAAUCUGCUUCCAAAACAUCUAAGUCCUACAAUAUUUGUUUCCAGACCUCAGAAAAGCCCGAGACUGUGAUCGGGUUCUUCAGAAAUCACGGUUUCUCUAAUAUUCAAGUAAACUAUAUGGUUAGAAAGGCACCGUGGUUGCUUUCUUGUGACCCCUGCAAAAGGUUAUUGCCAAAGUUUGAAUUUUUUCUCUCAAAGGGUGUUUCUAGGUCUGAAAUUGUUGACCUAAUAAGUAAGUACCCUAGAGUACUGCGUCCAAGCCUGGAGAAUCAUAUAGUCCCAACCUAUGAAUUGAUAUAUAAGUUAUUCCAAUCUCAUGUGAGGACUACUCGUUUUAUGUUUGGUAAUACAUUUUACUCUUUCAAGGAUCGUCUGGCACACAACAUCAGAUUGCUGCUAGAGAAUGAAGUGAGCGAAUCAAAUAUUGCAAGAUUGCUUGGGAACCAUAGUAAGGCGGUCUAUACCUCAAAUGAUAUAGUUAAGUUGGUGAAGGAAGUAAAGGAUUUGGGGUUUGAUCCUUCAAAAGAAAGUUUUGUUGUAGCGAUGAUGGCCAUAAAAAAAAUAAGUGUUUCCCUGUGGAAGGAGAAAGUUGAUACCUUCAAGAAAUGGGGUUGGUCUGAUGAAGCGUUGUCUGAAGCAUUUAGGAGGCACCCUCACUUUAUGUUGAAAUCUAUUAAAAAAAUAAAUGCUGUGAUGAACCUUUGGGUCAAUGAGUUGGGAAGGGAUCCUUUGGAACUUGUCCAUCGUCCAAUGAUUUUCGAUUUGAGUAUGGAAAAGACAAUCAUUCCAAGGGCCCGUGUUGUCCAGCAUUUACUUUCUAAAGGCUUGAGGAAAAGUGCCAACUUUGUGUAUCCGAUUAGUAUUCCUGAAAAGUUAUUUCUUGCAAGGUUUGUGACAUGUUUUAAGGAGGAAUCAUCUCAACUAUUAAAGCUGUAUCAGGAAAAAGUUAGUGUUCAAGGANNNNNNNNNNNNNNNNNNNNNNNNNNNNNNNNNNNNNNNNNNNNNNNNNNNNNNNNNNNNNNNNNNNNNNNNNNNNNNNNNNNNNNNNNNNNNNNNNNNNNNNNNNNNNNNNNNNNNNNNNNNNNNNNNNNNNNNNNNNNNNNNNNNNNNNNNNNNNNNNNNNNNNNNNNNNNNNNNNNNNNNNNNNNNNNNNNNNNNNNNNNNNNNNNNNNNNNNNNNNNNNNNNNNNNNNNNNNNNNNNNNNNNNNNNNNNNNNNNNNNNNNNNNNNNNNNNNNNNNNNNNNNUGAAAAAAAGUCAUGUCCUUAUUUGCUCCAUAGUUGUCAAUUGGUCAUGUCAAUCUGAUAGGGCACAUGUCAGACAAGUUCUUUGCUUGGAGAAAAAUGAAGAAAAUAUUAGCAUGUUAAAUGAUAGAAUCAUCUAGCUGCAAGAACUUGUUACUGUUUUAAUAUAUGUCAUUGAAUUUUUUUUCUUUUUCUUCAUGGACUGUAUUACCAUAGUAUGAGCUUUUAUCUGUAGGUAUAAACAGUUUGUCUUCUUGUUGAACAAGUAUUGCUAAUUCGAGUUUAAUUGUUACUUAAUUUUCUAACUUUUAUGGUUUUUCUUUUAAUAUUUGAUUCUAGUAAUGUUUUCUUUUGUUUAGUGAAGGCUUAGGGAAAGCUUUGGAAAAAUGAUAAAGUUCUGCAUCAUGACUUGGUGUUCAGUUGUUGAAGUUGUAGAAACUGCACCUUUGCUCAUAGGGAUAGGGGUUCAUGCAUUUGACUCUCCGAACUCCCUCAAUGUUGAAAGCCUUAAUCAUGAGUGAGUAGGGACUAGGGAUUGCUACUGUGAAAUUGAACCCCCUGUGCAUUGUACUCUUGUCUUUGAGAUUAAGAGAUGAGUGAGGGAGUGAUAGGAUUGUGAUUCUAGUGUGGAUGCAUCAAAGGGCGUAGAAAGUGAAGGGAUCACAUUAUGGACCAACAACAAAAGUAUGAAAGGUUUAUUCUUAGAAAGAAUAAAAGUGGACUUGGAUUUAAGACAAGUGUUCAGCUUGAAGCAAAGGGUUGUGUUGAGAAUCUUGUUUGUUUUCCUAGAAAACGUGGAUUGGGAGAGGACUCUGUACUUUUAGGCUGUUAUGCAGGGAGAAAAAUACUUUUCUGUUGUCACUCAAAGCUCUGUUUUUAAUUGAAUAAAAUCUAGGAAAACCAGAAUUCUGUCCUUGGUUUUCGUUGGACAAUUUCAGUUGGCUAAAAGCUCUUUUGAAUAUUUAGUGCAUUUAUUAGCAUGACCAUGCUUUUACUUAUACAUGCACUGGUAAUAUUUGGUUACUUUACUGCUUCUGUUUUGGAACUAUUUUCACAAAUUAAGCUUUGGUUCUUAAAUGUGUUGUUCAUGAACAUCUUCAAAUUGCAUGCUUGAACAAGUUUAGUGAAGAUGAAUUUUAGUGAGAUUAUUACCAAGCUGGGGGAAACUGAAUGCCUGCAAUGCCAUGCAUAAGGGAAAAUAUAAAGAACUUAAACCAGAAUAUAUUUGUAUAGCACUACUAAUCAUUAAG
RNAcentral lists this long non-coding RNA (6426 nucleotides) under Vigna radiata. Its description in RNAcentral is "long non-coding RNA (VRAD_LNC003266)". Lineage: Eukaryota; Viridiplantae; Streptophyta; Magnoliopsida; Fabales; Fabaceae. The record is from RNAcentral.